UACGUAGGGGGCAAGCGUUAUCCGGAAUGAUUGGGCGUAAAGCGUCCGCAGGUGGCAAUGUAAGUCUGCUGUUAAAGAGUCUAGCUCAACUAGAUAAAAGCAGUGGAAACUACAUAGCUAGAGUACGUUCGGGGCAGAGGGAAUUCCUGGUGUAGCGGUGAAAUGCGUAGAGAUCAGGAAGAACACCGGUGGCGAAGGCGGUCUGCUAGGCCGUAACUGACACUGAGGGACGAAAGCUAGGGGAGCGAAUGGG
Molecule: ribosomal RNA, 253 nt
Filed under: uncultured bacterium
Lineage: Bacteria
Description: partial 16S ribosomal RNA
Rfam family: Bacterial small subunit ribosomal RNA
Source: RNAcentral